This 372-nucleotide ribosomal RNA is filed under the name uncultured prokaryote. RNAcentral describes it as "bacterial SSU rRNA". It matches the Rfam family "Bacterial small subunit ribosomal RNA", at positions 524 to 896 of the family's 1533-position model. The record is from RNAcentral.
UACGUAGGGUGCGAGCGUUAAUCGGAAUUACUGGGCGUAAAGCGUGCGCAGGCGGAUGUUUAAGUCAGAUGUGAAAUCCCCGGGCUCAACCUGGGAAUGGCAUUUGAAACUGUGCAUCUAGAGUGCGUCAGAGGGGGGUGGAAUUCCACGUGUAGCAGUGAAAUGCGUAGAGAUGUGGAGGAACACCGAUGGCGAAGGCGGCCGCCUGGGAUGACACUGACGCUCAUGCACGAAAGCGAGGGGAGGAAACAGGAUUAGAUACCCUGGUAGUCCACGCCCUAAACUAUGUCAACGAAUUGUUGGGGACGUAAGUUCUUAGUGACGAAGCUAACGCGUGAAGUUGACCGCCUGGGGAGUACGGCCGCAAGGUUG